This 329-nucleotide ribosomal RNA is filed under the name uncultured eukaryote. RNAcentral's name for it is "partial 18S ribosomal RNA". It matches the Rfam family "Eukaryotic small subunit ribosomal RNA", at positions 1470 to 1796 of the family's 1831-position model. The record is from RNAcentral.
CCCUUAGAUGUUCUGGGCCGCACGCGCGCUACACUGAUGCAUUCAACGAGUCUAAAACCUGCUCUGAUAGGGGUGGGUAAUCUUUUGAAUGUGCAUCGUGAUUGGGAUAGAUGAUUGCAAUUUUUCAUCUUCAACGAGGAAUGCCUAGUAAACGCAAGUCAUCAGCUUGCAUUGAUUACGUUCCUGCCCUUUGUACACACCGCCCGUCGCUCCUACCGAUUGAAUGAUCCGAUGAAUAUCAUGGAUUGAGGAUGCAAGUAGGUUAGCCUAUCUUCAUCUUCGAGAAGUGAAGUAAAUCUUAUCAUUUAGAGGAAGGAGAAGUCGUAACA